CUUAUCACUACUAGAUUUUAUUAGGCCAUUAAAGAUCUCAACUGAAGACUUUGGCAAACUCUGGUUGUCUUUUGCAAAUGAUGUGAAGCAAAAUAUAAAAAUAUCAGAGCCUCGAGUUGCACUGGCUUCUGUCCUGACAGAGCUGCAGCAGAAACUCAGACUUUGCGUGGUUGACGUCAUAGGCAGUGAAGGUCUGCUGGCCUGUAAGCUGCUUCCGUCCACCCCCUGUAUCCUGCACUGCCGAGUACACGCUGACGUGGUAGCCCUGUGGUUCCGAUCCUCUAGCUCUGUUCUUUCAGACUGUUUAUCUUGUCACUGUCAGAAAGUGAUGCAGAUGUAGAGGACACAGAGACUGAUCAUCACCUGAAUCACACUUGGCUUUGGAGUACAGAACUUGUUGUAAGGAUAGUCUGUGCUCCCAGUUCUGUUUUGCUCAGGUCAGGGUUAAACUGAGGUGGCCUAACAUGUACUAACCAUUGUACAAGACCAUGAGCAUGCUGGGUAUGGGGCAAACACAAUCUGUGUUUUUUUACUUUUUAACUUGUUAUACUUAAUUUUAAGUAAUUUGAUCAUAAAGUAUAUCUGUUUCCUAUUAGAUCCUUUUUGUAGUUAAAAUUUUUGACCAUAGAAUAAAUGGCCAAUUGAU
This 646-nucleotide long non-coding RNA is filed under the name Rattus norvegicus (Norway rat). RNAcentral's name for it is "long non-coding RNA NONRATT018570". Lineage: Eukaryota; Metazoa; Chordata; Mammalia; Rodentia; Muridae. The record is from RNAcentral.